This 3904-nucleotide long non-coding RNA is filed under the name Marmota monax (woodchuck). The record is from RNAcentral. Lineage: Eukaryota; Metazoa; Chordata; Mammalia; Rodentia; Sciuridae.
GCUCAGAACACAAAUCUCCUCAUCUACUGGGUGGCAUGAGGUCCUUCCCCCAGUUGGUGUAGCUGUUGUGGCCUAGGGUAGGCUCUGGAAGGCUCCUAGGAUGAUGGGAAUGGGGCUUCAUGGAUAGAUCUAGACCAGAAGAACAUGGUUCCAGCCACCUCUGACAGUAUGCACUGCAGCCCUCAGGAAUCUUAGUAAAUCCACAUCUGUGGCAUCUCACCUGUAUCACAGUGUCCAGAUGUGUUCUACUGUCCUAGGACUAUUUCCUUUUCUGACCAUGAAAUUGUCUGUUGAUCUUGUGCCCUCAAGUUGAUUCUGCAUCAGAGGAGGGAUCAUUUUCUCUUCUCUGCAGAAUUGCUCUGGUGACUGAAGGAAUACAAUGAGGUCCAUCAUGAAGAGAGAAGGGACUCCAGGAAGCCACCUUGGUACCAUUUCUGACCCUGUAAGAUGCAAUACUAAUAAUAAACCAGUAGGGGUCAGAACAGACCACAAUUUGCAAAGAUAAGCUUGAUCUUGGAAAUGCUAGGUAAGUUAUAGAGUGAUAUUGUCCUUUACCUACAGGGAGAUCCCCAGGCUUGAAUGGGGACUCUGUGUGGCUAGGAGCAUUUGGAGGUCCUGUCUGGGGUCUGAGGUGUGGGACAAAGCUCUCUAUGUUGGUGCUCUGAGACUGGAUGCCCAGCCCUGCCUUUGCAACCCUCCACAUAGUCACUAAGGCCACUUCUUUAGAAUUAGUAAAACUGCCCCCAUUCAUAUGUUGACGCCUCACCUCAUUGUUGGUGUGUAUGCAGAAGUCAUCUAUAAGAAGGAAAGGAGGUUAAACAAGGUCAUCCAGGUUAGGAUGAUCCCACAGGAACCUUGUCCUUCUGAAUAGAUGUCCAGGGAGCUCUCUCCAUCCCUCUCAGGCCACAAGGAGAAGCCUGUGUGGACAGAAAAGAAGGGAGCCCUAUGAAGACAGCCGAUGACAGAGGGGUCAUCUGCUGCCUCUUCACUUUGCACCUUCAGCCUGCAGAACAUUGAGAAGACACAUCUUUACUAUCUGAGCCAAAUAGACCAAGGAGAUGUGUCUCCCUAUGACAGUCCCUGAAAAGCGACUGAGGCAUGACAGGAAGGUGUGCAUUUUCCUUGACACCUCUCUCUCCCUCUUGUUCUCUCUCUCUCCUCUUCCUGGAUUCCUGAGGUGAGCAGCUCUGCCCUGCCACAGAAGCCCUGUCAUGGGGUGCCAUGGUCUGUGGCACACAGACCCCAGCCAAGGUGCCACGGUCUAUGGCAUGAAACCUCUGAAAUCAAGAAUCAAGAUUAGUCUUUUCCCCACAAGGUGCUGUGCAGAGAUUUUUGCUCACAGUGGUGGGAAGCUGAUGAGCACACCUGCACCUUGUUAAAUACAGCUGUUCCUCCUAUGUGUGCAGGACAGUCAGCUGCUCUCCAUUUCAAUAAUCUCAAUGUGUCUGGUGCUGCCACCUGCUGGUCUACUUUGAAUUACAAGUCAUUUGUCUCUUAAGGGAAAGUUUUGUUGUAGCACAUACUUGUUUCUCUUUAAUGGGCUCCAUGCUUUUGUCUUAGCUUUUGCUAAUCCCACUGUAAAAAUAAGAAUUAUUUUUGCAUACUGAAUUACUUUCAUCAUUUUCAGUUUACUUUGUGAAAUUUCCCCCUGAUCUCAGAUUGGAUAAUACUUGAAAUAUCUCCACAUAUUAUGAAUCAAUCCCUUUGUGGAAACAUAAUGAGAGUUGGGAUAAUAGUGGCUAUAAGAGGGUAAUGUUGUCUGUUGUCAGCUGUCCAUGAUCACCAUCACCUUGGGGAGCACAGAUCACAGAAUCCAUUUUUCUAUUAUGUGUUUUUUAAAAUUGCUCAACUGAGGCACUUGUAUGAUUCAGACACCAAAGUGAAUAAUUCUACACCCACAAGCACCUAUUGUCAGAGGCAUAGACAGAGGAGGUAUCAGUGGAAUCACCAGGUGAGGAGCUACAGGAGACUGAGAGGACCAUCUGCAGUUUGGACCUCUCUGGAAGACUCUGAGAAUACAAAAUUAGGCAGUCUUUUUUUUGUUUUUUUGUUUUGUUUUGUAUGUGUGUGUGUGUGUGUGUGUGUGUGUGUGUGUGUGUGCCAGGAUUGAACUCAGGAGCACUCAAACACUGAGCCACAUCCCCAGCCCUAUUUUUGUAUUUUAUUUAGAGACAGGGUCUCACUGAGAUGCUUAGCACCUUGCUUUUUCUUUAGGCUGCUUUGAACACACAAUCCUCCUGCCUCAGCCUCCCAAGCCACUGGGAUUACAAGCAUGUGCUACUGUGCCCAGCCCAAAUUAGGCAGUUUUUAUAGACAGAGGAGAUAUCAGCAGAAUGACCAGGUUAUGAGGUAUAGGAGGCUAAGAGAACCACCUCCACUCUGGAGUUCCCUAAAGCACUCUGAGAAUACAGAAUUAGGCAGUCUUUACCUACACUGACAGAUGAGUUCAGGAUUAUGGGGAGAAACAGAGAAUCCCCUAUUUCUAAGACCAAUAUCCCUAACAGCCAGACCUGCUAAUACAAUUAAUGUCUGUAGUGUGAACUUCAAUCCCUUUAUUAAAUCCAGUCCUGCUUUGAGUAUCUGUUAGCUGUAUAAAUCUCAUGGGAUACCACUAUGUGGACUCCCAACAUUCACUACUCCAUGUCUUUUAGGAAAUAAGGAGAGACACACCCUGGUCUGCUCUGAUGGAGCUGAGGGGAUGGAAAGAUGGCGAAUACACAAAGAGGUACCCUCUCCCCUUCCAGUCAAUGUGCUUCAGAGCCUGGCUGCCUAAGUGUGCAUUUCUGUCAUCACCAAGUAUCUAGUAGUUCCUUAAAGAACCCAAUUCUAAUGGCUGUUUUAGGACUGCAGGACUCAAGUAGGGCGAGGGAGAAAUGUGUGUGAGUGCAGUCUCAUUGGUCCUGAGGUUGCCACUAAUUGGGGUUAGUUGUACCUUUGACUCACUGUGGGCACCCAAGAAAGAGGAAAGGGCAGAGUACUCAGAGGGAUGAGGUUCCUAUGUAAGGAACAGAGUCCAGGCGUGGUUAGGGGGACACUCUAUGGGGUACAAAGUUGGAGAUGGCCAGUUAGUGGUCAGAGUGCAACAGGUGUGUGGGUGUGUUGGGAGGAGUGGGGACAACCUCCAGAACCCAUAUUUCCCUUCAUUCUCUGCUGAACUCUUUUUCACUUGCUUACCUGCUUCUUUAUCACUUUACCCUGCCUAAAUCCAGGGGCCCUCAGGGCAGCCAUUAAUAACUCUGCUCCAUUCUGAACUAGGAGAUGAACAAUAUUAGAAUAUGCAGUUUUUAGGAACUUUGUAGAUUCAAGGGUGUCAAUGAGGAGCAUUGCAGAGAGGGAACCUCCCCUUCUGAAGACUUUGAUCUGAUUACUAUAUAAUACAGAGGAGGAGCUGUAAUCUGUGAAUCCAAGGAAGAUUAAAUGUGGAUAUGGAUAAUCACAAGCAGAGACAAGAAGUUCACUCGUAUUCCUCUGGUGGACAGAGACACUUCCUGACCUUGGAUGACUUGGAUGUAUGUAGAGGGACACAGCAUUCAUGGACAAUCUCUUGCUUAGCUGGAGAUGAGAAGAAGAGUAAGUGAGGACAGAUCCUGCUCAUUCUUAUAAAUUGUGACCCUCCCCCAUGUUUAUUUUGAUUUUCUCAUUCACAGAAAGGGCACAAGGGAAAUGGACCAAAGAGGAGCUGGUCUCAUCUCACUAAUAUCUGUGGGGUCUCAAGCAACCUUCAUUUAACUUAAUUGCAGUUAAUGGAUUUCUGUCCUGACUGACAGACCCUGUCAGGAUGAAAUGAAGACCAAGAAAGCACAUGACCACCUUCCAGAUAUCAAGUAAUACUCUACACUGAUGGCACAAGGAGGAUGUUGUCCUUUGUCACUCAAAACACAUUAUCCACUGCCAAGUCCAUGGU